This 492-nucleotide ribosomal RNA is filed under the name uncultured bacterium. Its description in RNAcentral is "partial 16S ribosomal RNA". It matches the Rfam family "Bacterial small subunit ribosomal RNA", at positions 29 to 507 of the family's 1533-position model. The record is from RNAcentral.
AGUGAACGCUGGCGGUAGGCCUAACACAUGCAAGUCGAACGGCAGCACAGUAAGAGCUUGCUCUUACGGGUGGCGAGUGGCGGACGGGUGAGGAAUACAUCGGAAUCUACUUUUUCGUGGGGGAUAACGUAGGGAAACUUACGCUAAUACCUCAUACGACCUACGGGUGAAAGCAGGGGAUCUUCGGACCUUGCGCGAUUGAAUGAGCCGAUGUCGGAUUAGCUAGUGGGCGGGGUAAAGGCCCACCAAGGCGACGAUCCGUAGCUGGUCUGAGAGGAUGAGCAGCCACACUGGAACUGAGACACGGUCCAGACUCCUACGGGAGGCAGUAGUGGGGAAUAUUGGACAAUGGGCGAAAGCCUGAUCCAGCCAUACCGCGUGGGUGAAGAAGGCCUUCGGGUUGUAAAGCCCUUUUGUUGGGAAAGAAAAGCAGCAGGUUAAUACCCCGCUGUUCUGACGUUACCCAAAGAAUAAGCACCGGCUAACUUCGUG